Molecule: long non-coding RNA, 368 nt
Organism: Megalobrama amblycephala (Wuchang bream)
Lineage: Eukaryota; Metazoa; Chordata; Actinopteri; Cypriniformes; Xenocyprididae
Exons: 3
Source: RefSeq, a predicted model, not a curated record
GGCAACCAUGCCCGGGGGGCGUCGAUUCACAAGAUAGUCAAAGAAAAAGUGCAUAAUCAACAGACCGGAACGCAUGAAAGCAACAACGACAAAUGGAGGCCUACGUAGACGCGAGAUUGUGCGAAGAGAUUAACGAAGGUCUUACGGGUGUGGAACGGCACGAGGGUCCGUCCAGGUAUAUAAGUUACCUCCUCCAAAGGGAGCCCAGAUGACACGUCUGAUGGCUUUGACCCAAUCCUCCAUGUCAUUCUGGGAGUUUGCCAUGAGCAGGAAAGCCUCAUGGCUGAGAGCCGAUCUGUCCUUCUCUCCUGUACAGCCUAUGGAGAUAGAGAGUGUGAAAAAUGAAUAAAUCAUUUGAUUGACACUAA